CGGACGUACUCGAGUGGCGAACGGGUGAGUAACACGUGGGUGAUCUGCCCUGCACUCUGGGAUAAGCCUGGGAAACUGGGUCUAAUACCGGAUAGGACCGCACUUUAGUGUGUGUGGUGGAAAGUUUUUUCGGUGUAGGAUGAGCCCGCGGCCUAUCAGCUUGUUGGUGGGGUAAUGGCCUACCAAGGCGGCGACGGGUAGCCGGACUGAGAGGUUGGUCGGCCACAUUGGGACUGAGAUACGGCCCAG
This 249-nucleotide ribosomal RNA is filed under the name uncultured Actinomycetales bacterium. RNAcentral's name for it is "partial 16S ribosomal RNA". It matches the Rfam family "Bacterial small subunit ribosomal RNA", at positions 82 to 334 of the family's 1533-position model. Lineage: Bacteria; Bacillati; Actinomycetota; Actinomycetes; Actinomycetales. The record is from RNAcentral.